UUUUAUUGUAUUAAUUUAUUAAAUAUUAAAAAUUAAAGAUCCAUGGCGUGCGCCUAGCGCCUAGAGGCUUAUGCCUUGCCCUAAUACGUAAAAUGCCUUUCCUCGCGCCUCGAGGCUUUCAGUGUUUUCUAUUAUAAGGCAAACACAAAGAGGAGUCUCUCAAUAGACUGGUUGAGAUGUUCUUUAACAAGCAUCCAAUGCUAAUGACAGUAUCAGCAAACUAACAUUCUUUUGUAUUUUUCAAGCUCCAUAUAUUCUUGUAUAGUCAGAGAGCCAAAAGAUUUGGUUAUAGCAGAUCAUCAACAUAGGCCUUCU
RNAcentral lists this long non-coding RNA (315 nucleotides) under Nicotiana benthamiana. RNAcentral describes it as "long non-coding RNA (NBEN_LNC029784)". Lineage: Eukaryota; Viridiplantae; Streptophyta; Magnoliopsida; Solanales; Solanaceae. The record is from RNAcentral.